Pelobates cultripes (western spadefoot toad) is the source of this 564-nucleotide non-coding RNA. NCBI's taxonomy places the organism in Eukaryota, Metazoa, Chordata, Amphibia, Anura, Pelobatidae. The record is from the annotation of a GenBank genome assembly.
UUACGAGAAAGUGGGGUAAGUAAUUGUACCUGACCAUCGGCAGUGAAAGAGAUAGAAGCCUGAAGGCGAGACAGUACAUCAGCUCCUAAGAGGUUAAUAGGACAGGUGGAUGAAACAACGAAACGGGAAAGGAUGUUAGAACCAACAUGCAAGAGUUUUGUUAAUGGGUUAUUUCGGGGGGUACCAUCAACACCCACACAAGAAACAUCGAGGUCAGACAAGUAAGAAGGAUCUGGCAGGUCUUGUUCUCUGAGAACACUGCGGGCUGCACCUGUGUCAACUAGGAAGGUAGUGGGAUGACCCUCAACUGGUAAUACUACGGUAGCUAGGGGCCCCCCUUUAUCCCCUGCAGACACUGCCAUAACAGGGGUGUCAGACACAGGUUUGCCGGUUACCUAUUGUACAAGAUCUAGGUGAGACUGAUCGGGGCCAGUGUAAUGACGUGUAGUAGGGUGACUUGUUUGAUGGUUUUGGCGGGUAGGGCGAUAAUGAGUAGGUGCUGAGUGAUCAGUCUGUUGAAAGUCAUUUGAAUCAUAAGUAUCUGGGGGAGGAUGUAUGUUGAAU